Molecule: ribosomal RNA, 253 nt
Filed under: uncultured bacterium
Lineage: Bacteria
Description: partial 16S ribosomal RNA
Rfam family: Bacterial small subunit ribosomal RNA
Source: RNAcentral
UACAGAGGUCCCAAGCGUUGUUCGGAUUCAUUGGGCGUAAAGGGUGCGUAGGCGGCGCCGUAAGUCGGGUGUGAAAUUUCGGAGCUUAACUCCGAAACUGCAUUCGAUACUGCGGUGCUUGAGGACUGGAGAGGAGACUGGAAUUCAUGGUGUAGCAGUGAAAUGCGUAGAGAUCAUGAGGAAGACCAGUGGCGAAGGCUGGUCUCUGGGCAUUUCCUGACGCUGAGGCGCGAAAGCGUGGGGAGCAAACGGG